AGAGGAAGUAAAAGUCGUAACAAGGUCUCCGUAGGUGAACCUGCGGAGGGAUCAUUACAAGUGACCCCGGUCUAACCACCGGGAUGUUCAUAACCCUUUGUUGUCCGACUCUGUUGCCUCCGGGGCGACCCUGCCUUCGGGCGGGGGCUCCGGGUGGACACUUCAAACUCUUGCGUAACUUUGCAGUCUGAGUAAACUUAAUUAAUAAAUUAAAACUUUUAACAACGGAUCUCUUGGUUCUGGCAUCGAUGAAGAACGCAGCGAAAUGCGAUAAGUAAUGUGAAUUGCAGAAUUCAGUGAAUCAUCGAAUCUUUGAACGCACAUUGCGCCCCCUGGUAUUCCGGGGGGCAUGCCUGUUCGAGCGUCAUUUCACCACUCAAGCCUCGCUUGGUAUUGGGCAACGCGGUCCGCCGCGUGCCUCAAAUCGACCGGCUGGGUCUUCUGUCCCCUAAGCGUUGUGGAAACUAUUCGCUAAAGGGUGUUCGGGAGGCUACGCCGUAAAACAACCCCAUUUCUAAGGUUGACCUCGGAUCAGGUAGGGAUACCCGCUGAACUUAAGCAUAUCAAUAAGCGGAGGAAAAGAAACCAACAGGGAUUGCUCUAGUAACGGCGAGUGAAGCAGCAAUAGCUCAAAUUUGAAAUCUGGCG
This 648-nucleotide ribosomal RNA is filed under the name Cladosporium sp. CPC 15516. RNAcentral describes it as "eukaryotic LSU rRNA". The stretch from base 214 to 367 matches the Rfam family "5.8S ribosomal RNA". Lineage: Eukaryota; Fungi; Ascomycota; Dothideomycetes; Cladosporiales; Cladosporiaceae. RNAcentral also lists the same sequence under 1 other name. The record is from RNAcentral.